RNAcentral lists this small nuclear RNA (164 nucleotides) under Dasypus novemcinctus (nine-banded armadillo). Its description in RNAcentral is "U1 spliceosomal RNA (ENSDNOG00000040904.1)". It matches the Rfam family "U1 spliceosomal RNA". From Rfam's summary of the family: U1 is a small nuclear RNA (snRNA) component of the spliceosome (involved in pre-mRNA splicing). Its 5' end forms complementary base pairs with the 5' splice junction, thus defining the 5' donor site of an intron. The record is from RNAcentral. Lineage: Eukaryota; Metazoa; Chordata; Mammalia; Cingulata; Dasypodidae.
GUACUUACCUGGCAGGGGAGGUAUCAUGAUCAGGAAGGUGGUUUUCCCAGGGCGAGGCUUGUCCAUUGCACUCUGGAUGUGCUGACCUCUGUGAUUUCCCCAAAUGUGGGAAACUCAACCGCAUAAGUUUUGGUAAUGGGGGACUGCAUUCGCACUCUCCCCUG